This 393-nucleotide ribosomal RNA is filed under the name uncultured bacterium. RNAcentral's name for it is "partial 16S ribosomal RNA". It matches the Rfam family "Bacterial small subunit ribosomal RNA", at positions 523 to 918 of the family's 1533-position model. The record is from RNAcentral.
AUACGGAGGAUCCGAGCGUUAUCCGGAUUUAUUGGGUUUAAAGGGAGCGUAGGCGGACGCUUAAGUCAGUUGUGAAAGUUUGCGGCUCAACCGUAAAAUUGCAGUUGAUACUGGGUGUCUUGAGUACAGUAGAGGCAGGCGGAAUUCGUGGUGUAGCGGUGAAAUGCUUAGAUAUCACGAAGAACUCCGAUUGCGGAGGCAGCCUGCUGGACUGUAACUGACGCUGAUGCUCGAAAGUGUGGGUAUCAAACAGGAUUAGAUACCCUGGUAGUCCACACAGUAAACGAUGAAUACUCGCUGUUUGCGAUAUACAGUAAGCGGCCAAGCGAAAGCGUUAAGUAUUCCACCUGGGGAGUACGCCGGCAACGGUGAAACUCAAAGGAAUUGACGGGG